RNAcentral lists this ribosomal RNA (379 nucleotides) under uncultured bacterium. Its description in RNAcentral is "bacterial SSU rRNA". It matches the Rfam family "Bacterial small subunit ribosomal RNA", at positions 790 to 1167 of the family's 1533-position model. The record is from RNAcentral.
GUAGUCCACGCCCUAAACGAUGCGAACUGGAUGUUGGUGGGAACUUGCCCAUCAGUAUCGAAGCUAACGCGUUAAGUUCGCCGCCUGGGGAGUACGGUCGCAAGACUGAAACUCAAAGGAAUUGACGGGGGCCCGCACAAGCGGUGGAGUAUGUGGUUUAAUUCGAUGCAACGCGCAGAACCUUACCUGGCCUUGACAUGUCGCGAACCCCUGAGAGAUUGGGGGGUGCCUUCGGGAACGCGAACACAGGUGCUGCAUGGCUGUCGUCAGCUCGUGUCGUGAGAUGUUGGGUUAAGUCCCGCAACGAGCGCAACCCUUGUCCCUAGUUGCCAGCACGUAAAGGUGGGAACUCUAGGGAGACCGCCGGUGACAAACCGGA